CCGAGCGUAUUUACACUCGGCAAAUCCGCUGGUUCCAGUAGUGAUUGGAUGUUGAAUCCCUCAGUUGGUUGUGAUCAUAUGAUAUAUAUAUGGUAUAUAUAUAGGGGAUGGUCUUAUCCUGGUAGGAAACAAAUUCAAAUUGUAAUAACCUCCAUGUUUCCAACACUAGAGAAUAGAUAGAAAAAUGAUUUGAAAACAAAUCGGUUUGUACUAGGGCAAAAAACUCGGCUUAGCCAGUUUUGUCUGUCUCAGGCAGGUAGCCAAGCUGGUUCACAGAUGGUUUUUAGGAAACUGCUAAGCCAGUUUUGGCAAUCUAUUGCCAUCUACUCCUUCACCUCUCGGACUCCAAAUGCAAUGCUCCAACACAUUUUCGACGAUCAUCUCAGUUCCAGGAACAUAGUCACCAAAGCUAUUUCAACCUUCCGUCAAUUUUAGGCGUUAUUUACUGUUAUGUUUCUCAAUGAAGCUACAUACACUACACCAGGGAGGUAAAUGGCAGCUCCAGAUGGUUUGUAGGGGUGGUGCGAAAAACAUGAGAUUUGCAGCAGCUGGGGUUCGAACCUGCGACCUCUAGCCUCCCACAUUACUGCUUCUCGAACAAUUAUUCCACCUCACACACCCACUUUCGUCUAUAUCAGAUAUUCUUUCUCCUCGUAU
Molecule: long non-coding RNA, 657 nt
Filed under: Sorghum bicolor (sorghum)
Lineage: Eukaryota; Viridiplantae; Streptophyta; Magnoliopsida; Poales; Poaceae
Description: long non-coding RNA (SBIC_LNC005989)
Source: RNAcentral